UGAGGAAUCUUGCGCAAUGGGGGAAACCCUGACGCAGCAACGCCGCGUGAGUGAGGAAGGCCUUCGGGUCGUAAAGCUCUGUCAGAUGGGAAGAAAUGGGUGGGGGCUAAUAUCGUCCAUCCUUGACGGUACCAUCAGAGGAAGCACCGGCUAACUCCGUGCCAGCAGCCGCGGUAAUACGGGGGGUGCAAGCGUUGUUCGGAAUCAUUGGGCGUAAAGCGCGCGCAGGCGGCUUGGUAAGUCAGAUGUGAAAUCCCUGGGCUUAACCCAGGAAGUGCAUUUGAGACUGCCUAGCUAGAGGACGGGAGAGGAAAGGGGAAUUCCUGGUGUAGAGGUGAAAUUCGUAGAUAUCAGGAGGAACACCGGUGGCGAAGGCGACUUUCUGGCCCGAUACUGACGCUCAGGCGCGAAAGCGUGGGGAGCAAACA
This 428-nucleotide ribosomal RNA is filed under the name uncultured prokaryote. RNAcentral describes it as "bacterial SSU rRNA". It matches the Rfam family "Bacterial small subunit ribosomal RNA", at positions 355 to 774 of the family's 1533-position model. The record is from RNAcentral.